Long non-coding RNA from Bactrocera oleae (olive fruit fly), 1018 nucleotides. RefSeq lists it as uncharacterized. NCBI's taxonomy places the organism in Eukaryota, Metazoa, Arthropoda, Insecta, Diptera, Tephritidae. The record is from RefSeq and is a predicted model, not a curated record.
ACUUAUUUUGAUUUAUUUAAAUCAAGAAUGUUCUUGAAAAAGUUAUUUAUAUAACGAGUUUAUUGCAAAUUUUACAUCUUUACAAGAUUAGGAGGAAAAUUAGAGAAAACUCUUCUGAAAUACACUAGCCCAAAGAAGUCUGGUAAAAUUCUUGACUUCAUCAUAGCACUACGCCUUCUACUCUUUAGCAUAUGAGAAAAUAGUAACUAUAAUCAUAGUUUAGAAAAUGGAUCGAGAUAUUCUGCCAUUAUAUAUCCUCCUUCGGUUAUGAAGAUAUCCUAAGUACUUUCUUCCUGUAAAUACUAUAUUUCAGAAACCAUGCUGCAAUGCUAAAACAACUGAUAUAACAUAGUGUUACAACGACUUCUUUUAAGCAGAACAACAAUAAUGGUUUUUAAAGGAGAUUCAAUUCUAGCUGAAACUGAGAGUGCAUGUCUCGACUGCGAAACGUGAGCAACGUUAGAAUAAAUAACUUUCUAUAGAGGAGAUGGCAGUUAAUCGAAUUCCAAUAAAACAACAUUAAUAUAAAUAGAUAUUAUUUUCUGCUAUUUUUAUAACAGACAUAACGGAUAUAUAUAUAAUAUUGAUUUGUAAGGUCGAAGGUCGUUCAGGAUAAAUUGGCUACUUUUUUUGAGGUGUAUGUAGUCCGAAUUAUCUAAGAAAAAUAUAUCAGUUUGUUUGAUAUAAGCAACCUUCAGGUCGAAUCAAGGUCACCCAACAUAAUAAGGAAAAAGAUAUUUUACGAAGAUUUCUAUCUUGAUUAUAACCGGUCAGUGUGAAUGGCAGCUACAUAUAUACUAUAGUCGUCCGAUCUGAACAAUAUAUACGGAGAUUCUAACGAUUCUUUGGAUAAUAACCUAUUGCAAAUUGUAAUAAAACUAAAUGAAUAAGGUGACCGAACUAUUUAAAUAGAAGUCUCCGCAAAAAGGAACUCAAAGGUUCAAAGUAGAAAAUAAUUUGUAAAAGAGUGGCCAGUAGAAGUGUUUGUCACCGGUUUAAAGUUUUUAAUCAAUGAAAU